AUGGCUAGUUAUUACUGGAUAGUUCUCGUUUUGGCGUGCACCUGCGCGCUCAGUGGCGCACUGGCGGCACGCGACCUCGCCGACGAUGCGUCCAUGGCCGCGAGGCACGAGCAGUGGAUGGGCAAGUAUGGCCGCGUGUACGGUGACGCCGCCGAGAAAGCAAGGCGGCUGGAGGUGUUCAAGGCCAACGUCGCGUUCAUCGAGUCCGCGAACGCCGGGAACAACAAGUUCUGGCUGGAGGCCAACCAGUUCGCCGAUAUCACUGAGGACGAGUUCAGGGCUACCCACACCGGAUACAAGCCAGUUGCUGUGACUAACAAGGACCGGAGCACCGGGUUCAGGUACGCGAACGCCAGCCUCGACGACCUCCCGGCCUCCGUGGACUGGAGGACCAAUGGCGCCGUCACUCCCAUCAAAGACCAAGGCCAAUGUGGGUGCUGCUGGGCGUUCUCCACGGUGGCCUCCAUGGAGGGCAUCGUGAAGCUGAGCACGGGCAAGCUGGUCUCCCUCUCGGAGCAGGAGCUGGUGGACUGCGACGGCACAGACAAGGGCUGCGAGGGCGGGCUCAUGGACAACGGCUUCGAGUUCGUCGUCAAAAACGGCGGCCUCGCCACCGAGGCCGACUACCCCUACACCGGUGCAGAGGGCAGCACCUGCGACUCCAGCACGGCCGCGGCGACCAUCACGGGGCACGAGGACGUGCCGGCCAAUGACGAGGCGUCUCUGCUUAAGGCGGUGGCGGCGCAGCCCGUGUCCCUGGCCGUCGACGGCGGGGACAACCUCUUCCGGUUCUACAAGGGCGGCGUGCUCUCCGGCGCGUGCGGCACGCAGCUCGACCACGGCAUCGCGGCCGUCGGGUACGGCGUGUCCGGAGACGGGACCAAGUUCUGGGUGAUGAAGAACUCGUGGGGCGCGGGGUGGGGCGAGGACGGCUUUAUCAGGAUGGAGAGGGACGUCGCCGACGAGCAGGGCCUCUGCGGGCUCGCCAUGCAGCCUUCCUACCCCACGGCGUAG
This 1014-nucleotide ribosomal RNA is filed under the name Triticum aestivum (bread wheat). RNAcentral describes it as "partial small subunit ribosomal RNA". Lineage: Eukaryota; Viridiplantae; Streptophyta; Magnoliopsida; Poales; Poaceae. The record is from RNAcentral.